This 1170-nucleotide long non-coding RNA is filed under the name Homo sapiens (human). RNAcentral's name for it is "non-protein coding MIR663AHG:57". The record is from RNAcentral. Lineage: Eukaryota; Metazoa; Chordata; Mammalia; Primates; Hominidae.
CUACCGUUCUGCCUCCGACCGGUCGUGUGUGGGUUUACUCGGAGGUGCUUUGCCUCUGAAGAAAAGAGAAAUACUAGGCUUUAGAAUUUCACCAUAUGAAUUUUGGGAGAGAGGAGCACAGUUCAGCCCAUAACUAACACACGACGGAAUGAAGUUGAUAAUAGUGAGACCUUGUUGGUACAAGACUAUGUAACAUAACCUGCGCUUCUCAACAAAGAAUUGCUUUUCUGACUUCUGCACUCAAUAGCAAGACAAAUCUCUCCUCUGCCUUCUCCUUAUCAGACUACUCAACAUGAAGGCAAUAAGAAUGAAGACCUCUAUGUAUAAUAAUUGACUUCCACUUAAUAAAUAAGGUUACUUGGUACACUGGUCGACAAAACCUUGAAAUGUUGAUGUUUAAGGGCUGUUGAUUGCUGGCAGCAAAGAAGUCCAACUGUGCUGGUACCCGAGAUAGCGUCUCCACAUUUUCUUCCAGGAUCAUCACCUUUGUUCUAAAUAGCUCCCACAUAGUGUGAACAGAAGUCAUAUGUUUUAGAUUUUCUGCCUUGGCACCCAGGAAACCAGUAUGAUUGAGUAAACAUAUUAAACUUCCUCUGCAUUUCCAGCCUGAACAGAUGUUGAGUACAAGCUGAUCCACCUACGUUCAACCUGAGAGAGUCCACAUCCACAGACUGUUUCAUUUCCCUUUUUCAAUUUACAUAGAAGCAUAGAUUCUUGCUGGCAUAUACAAAUGCGCCAUUUAAGGCAAUCAAAAAUGGUUCCACAUCUCAUCUGAUUUCCACAAUUGUUGCUGUAACGAUGGACUACUGAGGAGAGAGACAAUUUCUCUGGCACAUCUUCCCACAUUUUAGCAACAUGUUCAUGGAGAGCCAAUAUUCAGUAAUUACAGCCCAAUUCCUCACAAUUUCACAAUUCGCUAACAAUAUGCAUUUUCACAAUGUAAAGCUGAUUUUCCUUUAACCAAAUCAAACAUGAAAAGAUAGCUGCAUGCAAUGGGCAAUCUAGAUCAUUAGAAGAUUGAUGUAAAAUUAGAGGACACUGAGACUGGAAUAGAUUGCAAACUUCAGGGAGCUCAGAAAACUUGUAAACUCUACAUUUUGAGGAAAUAUGUUGUCGAUGCUUUUGCAACUCUAUGCAGUAACUUAACAAAUAAAGCCUUAAAGUAACUUA